Molecule: ribosomal RNA, 243 nt
Filed under: uncultured bacterium
Lineage: Bacteria
Description: partial 16S ribosomal RNA
Rfam family: Bacterial small subunit ribosomal RNA
Source: RNAcentral
GCAAGUCGAGCGUGAAAGCCCUUCGGGGUGAGUAGAGCGGCGGACGGGUGAGUAACGCGUAGGAAUCUACCUAGUAGUGGGGGACAACAUGUGGAAACGCAUGCUAAUACCGCAUACGCCCUACGGGGGAAAGCGGGGGAUCUUCGGACCUCGUGCUAUUAGAUGAGCCUGCGUUAGAUUAGCUAGUUGGUGGGGUAAAGGCUCACCAAGGCGACGAUCUAUAGCUGGUCUGAGAGGAUGAUC